This 472-nucleotide ribosomal RNA is filed under the name Veillonella parvula. RNAcentral describes it as "bacterial SSU rRNA". It matches the Rfam family "Bacterial small subunit ribosomal RNA", at positions 28 to 473 of the family's 1533-position model. Lineage: Bacteria; Bacillati; Bacillota; Negativicutes; Veillonellales; Veillonellaceae. The record is from RNAcentral.
GACGAACGCUGGCGGCGUGCUUAACACAUGCAAGUCGAACGAAGAGCGAUGGAAGCUUGCUUCUAUCAAUCUUAGUGGCGAACGGGUGAGUAACGCGUAAUCAACCUGCCCUUCAGAGGGGGACAACAGUUGGAAACGACUGCUAAUACCGCAUACGAUCUAAUCUCGGCAUCGAGGAAAGAUGAAAGGUGGCCUCUACAUGUAAGCUAUCACUGAAGGAGGGGAUUGCGUCUGAUUAGCUAGUUGGAGGGGUAACAGCCCACCAAGGCGAUGAUCAGUAGCCGGUCUGAGAGGAUGAACGGCCACAUUGGGACUGAGACACGGCCCAGACUCCUACGGGAGGCAGCAGUGGGGAAUCUUCCGCAAUGGACGAAAGUCUGACGGAGCAACGCCGCGUGAGUGAUGACGGCCUUCGGGUUGUAAAGCUCUGUUAAUCGGGACGAAAGGCCUUCUUGCAAAUAGUGAGAAGGAU